RNAcentral lists this long non-coding RNA (3048 nucleotides) under Bemisia tabaci. RNAcentral's name for it is "lncRNA ENSSSA3NGG013656". Lineage: Eukaryota; Metazoa; Arthropoda; Insecta; Hemiptera; Aleyrodidae. The record is from RNAcentral.
CUGGACUGAGGAAGCCUUAAUAAUUUCGAACAGUAUAGUGCUAGUGAAAUUGUGAGGAGGAUAAAAUAUACUUUUGGUGAAAACUUACAGAUACUUAGAGAGCACACCUUGAGGCGACGAUUUUGGAUGCUGAUUAUGGAACGAGAGAACACCAUAUUGAACAUUCUUUUGCGGGAGGCAAAUAAAAACGACUUCGCUUUUGCACUUACACACAAAAUCAAGAACCUCGAGCAACUGCAAACAUUUAAAGGACUUGCUUAUAACACUCACAAGGAGAUGAAGAAUCGCGUUUGUUUUGCAACUAGCUUAUCAAAAUAGCCGUCUUUUAUUUCGUCUGCAGCGGACACUUCGCGGUCCGCAGGCGUCUGCAAUCGUCUUUUAUUAUUUUGCAGAUGACUUGGAGUGGGCGGGGCUUAAUUUUGGGGAUUUUAAGCGGACACAAGAAUUCGCCUGGAUGCGGACAACUGUAGACGAUCGCGGUCCGCGGUCGUCUGCGUGGUCUGGAGCUCGCAGACCGUAGACCGCGGACGAAACCCUAACCUCUCCAUUUCAUCAUUCUCUCUCACCGCGAAGUGCGAACCAACUCCGUACCAGCCAUUGCCGGUUAAAUAACCACGUGCAUCUCGCGGUCAGUUUAUUAUUUGUUAAUUUUAAUUAUUUAACUAUAGUGCACGAUUCGGAAGAACAAAGCAAGCUUCUCGUCUAUUUAUCAGACGGAAAUCAAUUGGUGGUACACCUGACGGUCGAGCAAUGUGAGAAUUUCGAAAGAAGUGUUGAUGAGCAGAAGAGUUACGCAACUGAAAUGCUGCAACAACUUCAAGCCAUGGAGAAAGUCCCUGUUGAAGUGUUCAUAGUACGAACAGAAUUUCGUGGUUGUGAUAGACCUGCCACAUCUGGAGAUGUAAAUAACCGUGCGGAGCAGCAAAAUGAUGUCCAGGAUGAGGGAGCGGUAUCAGAUGAGGACAUCGAGUUUGAAAAUGAAUGUGCAGCAAGCACUUUUUGGACCAAGGAAAUAACAGUUACGAUGGAUGGCAGGACUAUUACUAAUCCCACAGAAUUACUGAUCAGAACAUAUGGCCUUAAAAAUUUCAGGAAAUGUUCAAUGGUAAAACAAUCAGACGCGUUGAUGUGUGGGCCAAAAUUGCAGAGCAGAUGGCACAACUUGGUUGCAAAGUCCCGCCGGGGAAGAACGGUGAAAAACCGGGAGCUGUUUGUGAUAUCAAAUUUCGGGCCAUUAAGCCCGUUUAUACCGACACAAGACACCCAAAACAGGAGAAGGAAAACGGAAGAAACCAUUUUAUUUCGAUACAAUGGACGAGGUUAUUGGUGAUCACCAAUUAACAUCUCCGAAAAACCUCAGGGACACCAUCUGGACCACUACUCCUAGCAGCUCCGAAGGUAAUUGUGAGGAAAACGAAGAUCCAGAUGAGCCAACAACACCAUUGAGUUCACUUGGAAAAUCUGGGAGUAAGAGAGUUCCCCUAAGGGAAGUUACGAAUUUAAAGAAGAAAUUGAAGCCUUCGUCUUCAACCUCAAAUGAUAAGUUGUUAAAUUAUCUCGAAAAUCUGAGGAAAGAGCACGUAAAGAAAGAGGAAGAGCGCAGAGAGCGAGCACAGCUUUUAAAGGAAAUGCAUCAAAUUGAUGUUGCCCAAACUGAAAGAUUGAUAGAAGCCCUAGUAGCCAAUGCCAACAAAAACUAAAUUUUAUUAGGUAAUUCUUACUCUUCAUAGCUUAAAUUUGUAAAUACGUUGGCAGUUUUGCCCCAAAUUCUAACCUGCAUUCAGUCAUUUCUAUUAAGUUUAUAUUUCUUUACUGAGUUUAUUUGUUUGUUGUCAUGUUGGCCACUAGUUCUAGCAACUAAAUAAGUGAGGAAGAGCCUUCAAAGAAAGGGAGGAAGAGCACAGAGUGAGAACAGCUUUUGAGAGAAAUGCAUCAAGUUGAUGCUGCCCAAACUGAAAGAUUGAUAGAUGCCCUAGUAGCCCAUGCCAACAAGAACUACAUUUUUAUUAGGUAAUUCUUACUCUUUAUAGCUUAAACUUGUAAAUACGUUGGCAAUUUUGCCCCAAGUUUUUUCCUCUAUUUAGUCAAUUCUAUUAAGUUUUCAUUUGUUUAUUGGCUCAUGAUCUUUGAAUAUUUACAGAUGUUGACACAGGUCAGAAUUUUAAAACUGUUGAAUAUGUAAUUACAGUUUUAUUCAUUUUGUUUUGUAAAUAUGUUGGCAUUUAUGGCAUUUAUUAUUUUCUCAUAUUUAUUUCGUUGUUGCUACUAAGAUUUUUUCUGUUAUUAAGUACUCCUAAUUUUUCAUUCAGAUGUUUCCUCACUCAAUCAAGGUUGGUCAACUUUGCAUUGGCCAAGCUUAGUCUCACAAGGAACCUUGUGAGUACAGGAAUGAUUUAUUACUUUAAGUUCCCUACUUCCAUGCAUUGCUUACUGUGCAAUGCUUAGAAAAUUGCCCAGCUUUAUAUUUUCACAGCAGUGAACUAAGAGCAUGCAAAGUUGCAACCUUACUGCAAAUUUUACAACAAAAUUUUGAACUUUCUACGAUUUUGUUUAACCUGAAUGAAAAUAUUAUGUGGCGCUAUUAACAGCUCCACUGAUCUCAGCUAAGUUGCUGAUUUAUGUGAUAAUUCAUUUAUUUAACCUUUUAUGUAGUCAUUUCUUCAUUAAUUUUUAAUACCUAUAGUACCUUUUCAUAUCCCACUGAUCUCUUGUCACAAUAUGAUUCUCAUCACCUCAUAUCAUCAUGGAAUUACAUCUUUGCCACUGAAAGAAUCCUUCUUCUUCAUUUAAUCAUUUUUCGUUUUCCCACUCUCUCCAUGUAAUUGACUAUUACUUUAUUUAAUUUCCAUGCUCAAUCGUCUUUUCACUAACGUAGGUACUUAGUUAUUUUGUUCUUUUUAAUCUCUCAAAAACCAUUUCAUGCCUCACUGAUAUCUGAACGAGGGUUAUUCUAAUUUUUCGUGCAGUUGCACGACUUUUAACCUACAUAUUGAAUUGGAACGCAAUUGUAUUUGUCUGUUAUUUAUUUAAUAAAAAUUUUCUACCUCA